GGUGUGGCGCUCUUUGGGUAGAGGCAAGUCUAUCGGCUUGUUGUAGGUUACGGCCUACCAAGGCUUUGACCGGUUGUGGUCUGAAGAGACCGAUCAGGCAACACUUGGCACCUGCAACAACGGGGCCCAGAACUUCAUUACCGGGGAGGGGCAUGCACGUUAAAGGGAAAUACUUUGCGGCAAAUGGGGCCGAAAAGGCCCUGAACGCAAGCCGACCGCCCGCGUCGGGGGAUGAAAGGUCUUCAGGAUUGUAAACCCCUUUCGGGAGGGAAGAUGGAGCGAGCAAUCGUUCGGACGGUACCUCCAGAAGCAGCCACGGCCAACUUCGUGCCAGCAGCCGCGGUAAUACGAAGGUGGCAAGCGUUGUUCGGAUUCACUGGGCGUACAGGGUGUGUAGGCGGUUUGGUAAGCCUUCUGUUAAAGCUUCGGGCCCAACCCGGAAAGCGCAGAGGGUACUGCCAGGCUAGAGGGUGGGAGAGGAGCGCGGAUAUUCCCGGUGUAGCGGUGAAAUGCGUAGAGAUCGGGAGGAAGGCCGGUGGCGAAGGCGGCGCUCUGGAACAUACCUGACGCUGAGACACGAAAGCGUGGGGAGCAAACAGGAUUAGAUACCCUGGUAGUCCACGCCCUAAACUAUGGAUACUAAGUGUCGGCGGGUUACCGCCGGUGCCGCAGCUGAACGCAUUAAGUAUCCCGCCUGGGAAGUACGGCCGCAAGGUUGAAACUCAAAGGUAAUUGACGGGGGCCCGCACAAGCGGUGGAGCAUGUGGUUUAAUUCGACGCAACGCGAAGAACCUUACCCAGGUUGGACAUGCACGUAGUAGUAAAGGUGAAAGCCUGACGAGGUAGCAAUACCAGCGUGCUCAGGUGCUGCAUGGUCUGUCGUCAGCU
RNAcentral lists this ribosomal RNA (888 nucleotides) under uncultured Nitrospirota bacterium. Its description in RNAcentral is "bacterial SSU rRNA". It matches the Rfam family "Bacterial small subunit ribosomal RNA", at positions 209 to 1060 of the family's 1533-position model. Lineage: Bacteria; Pseudomonadati; Nitrospirota. The record is from RNAcentral.